UAAUUUUUUUUAAUGGUUGUCUGCUACUUAACUUUUCUCUGUUUUCUUCUGGCAACAAAUAAGCUUCCAAUGGUAAAGAAACUCAAGCCAAGAGAGAGAAAUCAAAGGAGAAGGGUCAGUUGACACUCUCCACUGCUGAACCUCCUAAUCCUACAACAAGUGUGACAUCUGAUAAAGAUGAAGAUGCCCCAUCUGAAAAUGCUGCUGCCGUGUCUAGUAAUUUUACAGACCAGAAAAGUACAGAUGUUUUUGGCGAGUUAUGGAAAUUGAAGCCAUUGCCUGAAGAAAGGAAGUGCCAUUAUCAGUCAUCAGAUUUGACACCACUAGUGCUAGGAGUAGACCAUAUAGAGGAUUUGUUAUUUAUUUAUUUAUAUUCAAGACCAUUUUCAAUUUAUUGUAAUAAAUAUUAUAUUUUUUUUA
Long non-coding RNA from Magnolia sinica, 420 nucleotides. RefSeq lists it as uncharacterized. NCBI's taxonomy places the organism in Eukaryota, Viridiplantae, Streptophyta, Magnoliopsida, Magnoliales, Magnoliaceae. The transcript has 2 exons. The record is from RefSeq and is a predicted model, not a curated record.